GGGUGACUGCGGAGGACAUUAUUGAGAUUUGAACAAGUUGUAGCUGGCUCUGAAAGGAGCAUGUGCACGCUUGGCUCAUCCACUUUUUAACCUUUGUGCACUCUUUGCAAGAGCUUGGUCAACAUUGGUCUUUCACGGCUAGUGAUUUCCUCUCUCUUGUGUUUUUAUCACAAACAUAUUAUGUUGUAGAACGGUUUUUGUGCAAACGAUGCACGUUGAAUAUACAACUUUCAGCAACGGAUCUCUUGGCUCUCGCAUCGAUGAAGAACGCAGCGAAAUGCGAUAAGUAAUGUGAAUUGCAGAAUUCAGUGAAUCAUCGAAUCUUUGAACGCACCUUGCGCUCCUUGGUAUUCCUUGGAGCAUGCCUGUUUGAGUAUCAUGAGACUCUCAACUUGCUACAUUUUUGUAUUGAAGUGUAGCAAGUGUUGGACUUGGAGGUUGUGCUGGCUGCUUUGUUUGAAAAGAUAGCUAGCUCCUCUGAAAUGUAUCAGCAUGAACUUAAUGUGAAUCAACUUUCAGUGUGAUAAUCUUCUACGCUGUAUGUUGCCUUCUGUCGCUCAUGCUUAGAGUUGUCUCUUAGAGACUUUAAUCGAUUUCUGAUCUCAAAUCAGGUAGGACUACCCGCUGAACUUAAGCAUAUCAAUAAGCGGAGGAA
Molecule: ribosomal RNA, 655 nt
Filed under: Ceriporia viridans
Lineage: Eukaryota; Fungi; Basidiomycota; Agaricomycetes; Polyporales; Irpicaceae
Description: eukaryotic LSU rRNA
Rfam family: 5.8S ribosomal RNA (bases 226-379)
Source: RNAcentral